UGUUAAUUUUUUUAUCUAUUUGUAUUGUUAAAAAUUAACGUGACUAAGUGAAUAACUAGAGAAUGACAUAUGGUGUGCCACAUGUAUCUCAUACUGAUAUAUAAUUACUAGUUUUUGAUAGUAAAAAUUGAUGGAGUUUUUAAUA
Molecule: non-coding RNA, 145 nt
Organism: Gossypium raimondii (Peruvian cotton)
Lineage: Eukaryota; Viridiplantae; Streptophyta; Magnoliopsida; Malvales; Malvaceae
Source: Rfam